Molecule: long non-coding RNA, 898 nt
Filed under: Arabidopsis thaliana (thale cress)
Lineage: Eukaryota; Viridiplantae; Streptophyta; Magnoliopsida; Brassicales; Brassicaceae
Description: long non-coding RNA (ATHA_LNC000552)
Source: RNAcentral
UCUAACUAGUGUCAUUCCCUCGGAACUAGGCAACAUGGAAUCCAUGACAGAUUUAGCGCUAAGUCAGAACAAACUUACCGGUUCAAUUCCUUCUUCCUUAGGAAAUCUCAAGAACUUGAUGGUUCUUUAUCUUUACGAGAACUAUCUAACUGGUGUCAUUCCCCCGGAACUAGGUAACAUGGAAUCCAUGACAGAUUUAGCUUUAAGUCAGAACAAACUUACCGGUUCAAUUCCUUCUACCUUAGGAAAUCUCAAGAACUUGAUGGUUCUUUAUCUUUACGAGAACUAUCUAACUGGUGUCAUUCCCCCAGAAAUAGGCAACAUGGAAUCCAUGACAAAUUUAGCGCUAAGUCAGAACAAACUUACUGGUUCAAUUCCUUCUUCCUUAGGUAAUCUCAAGAACUUGACGCUUCUUUCUCUUUUCCAGAACUAUCUAACUGGUGGCAUUCCCCCGAAACUAGGCAACAUAGAAUCCAUGAUCGAUUUAGAGUUGAGUAACAACAAACUUACCGGUUCAAUUCCUUCUUCCUUAGGAAAUCUCAAGAAUUUGACUAUUCUUUAUCUUUACGAGAACUAUUUAACUGGUGUCAUUCCCCCGGAACUAGGCAACAUGGAAUCGAUGAUUGAUUUACAGUUGAAUAACAACAAACUUACCGGUUCAAUUCCUUCUUCCUUCGGAAAUCUCAAGAACUUGACGUAUCUUUAUCUUUACCUGAAUUAUUUAACUGGUGUCAUUCCCCAGGAGCUAGGCAACAUGGAAUCCAUGAUCAAUUUAGAUUUAAGUCAGAACAAACUUACAGGUUCUGUUCCUGAUUCCUUUGGUAACUUUACCAAGCUGGAAAGUUUGUACCUUCGUGUUAACCACCUCUCUGGUGCGAUCCCGCCAGGAGUAGCAAAC